GACGAACGCUGGCGGCGUGCUUAACACAUGCAAGUCGAACGGUGAUGCUCCAGCUUGCUGGAGUGGAUCAGUGGCGAACGGGUGAGUAACACGUGAGCAACCUGCCAGACUCUGGAAUAAGCGCUGGAAACGGCGUCUAAUACUGGAUACGAAACUGGCCCGCAUGGGCAUGGUUUGGAAAGUUUUUCGGUUUGGGAUGGGCUCGCGGCCUAUCAGCUUGUUGGUGAGGUAAUGGCUCACCAAGGCGACGACGGGUAGCCGGCCUGAGAGGGCGACCGGCCACACUGGGACUGAGACACGGCCCAGACUCCUACGGGAGGCAGCAGUGGGGAAUAUUGCACAAUGGGCGAAAGCCUGAUGCAGCGACGCCGCGUGAGGGAUGACGGCCUUCGGGUUGUAAACCUCUUUCAGCAGGGAAGAAGCGAAAGUGACGGUACCUGCAGAAGAAGCACCGGCUAACUACGUG
This 466-nucleotide ribosomal RNA is filed under the name uncultured bacterium. Its description in RNAcentral is "partial 16S ribosomal RNA". It matches the Rfam family "Bacterial small subunit ribosomal RNA", at positions 28 to 507 of the family's 1533-position model. The record is from RNAcentral.